This is a long non-coding RNA of Mesocricetus auratus (golden hamster), 3085 nucleotides long. RefSeq lists it as uncharacterized. The record is from RefSeq and is a predicted model, not a curated record. NCBI's taxonomy places the organism in Eukaryota, Metazoa, Chordata, Mammalia, Rodentia, Cricetidae. The transcript has 5 exons.
UCUCUCUCUCUCUGUGUCUCUCUCUCUCCUGGCAAGCAUUCUCUUAGUACAAACAACUGGACAUCUGGUCUUUCUUUUCCUGAUACCUCGGAGUUGCUUUUAUGGUGCAGGUGCUGCAGUUGGUCAUCCCACCGAGAUCCAGAGAGAAUUGGAAAGACUGGGAAAGAUCGGCUAGAAAGAAGACUUGGGAGAGGAGAGACUCGAGAAAGAAAAGAUUUGAAAACAGGUAGUAAACCAGCAGAUGAAUGCAGGCUACACAGGAAUACUGGUUUCCUGUCUUGGCAGACAUUGAAUGAGUUUGUUUAUAUGAAGCAAUAUGUUCCAACUGAAAAGACAAAUGUUACUUUGAGACACUGUCUGAAGAUUGAAUUAUCCACUCUGCAGUUUGCAACGUUCACAAGGCUAAUUUCAGUCUUCUUCCUUUUGAAAUUCCACCUGGGUAAAGGGACAAGUUCAACAGGGCCAAGAAAGUGCAAAGGACAGACAAAUCAAAUCUAAUCAAGAUGCCGGGAGACGUCCCUGACAACAUGACUUUAAAUGGCCUUUAGAAUAUUAACAGAACAUUGUUCAAAGUGAAUAGCAAAGUUGCAGUAGCAUUUCCAGAGGUUUGAGUGGUAGUUUGGGGAUGAAGCAUAUGUUUGGCAUAUAGACACCCUGGUCUCAAAAUCCUGUAAAGACACUUAUGUCUACAAGAAAUUGCUUUUUGUCUACACAGAAAUUGCUUAUUGCUGUUGUUGUAUUUUUAAUACAUCAGACAUUUUUUUGUACUUAUUUCAGGAAAAAUUUUAUGUGCCUCAUUGACAUUAACAAUUUGGAGUCAGAUAAAAUACUAAAAUACUACUCAAAUUUUUUAAUAACUUCUACCUGAAUACUAGUUACAGAUGUGGCAUUGGUGUUUUGAAAAUUCCCUUUGGUUUACUUAAUUAAGCAGAUCUAAAUUCCCACUUUCCUGUGUGCACAGUCAGAAUUUUCCCCUUGGAGUCACAUUAGCAAACUGGACUCUAUCAAAAAAAUGAACUCAGGCUCUAAGAUCAUGGGUAAUAGAAUCAGAGAUCUAUUUGAAAGAAUGUUAUAUAUGAUUACCAAGGAUUUACCAAAUUUGGUAAAGGAGGAAUAAAUACAAAAAUUGCAGAAGGACAGCCAGGCAAAGUGACAUAAUUCCACCCCUCAACCUGGACAGGCAGAAGGAAACAACUAUCAAAGUUAUCUUCAUCCUAAGUGCUACUGGGUGCCUUUAAAUCCUGUAUCAGAAAUAAUUCUGAGCAAUUAUAUUAUAAUAUAUUAUUUUAUAAUAACAUAAAAUAAAUAAUAUGAAUCAGAAAAAAAAUUACAAAGGGCUCUGGGAAGUAUCCUAAAUUUUGUUUUCUCUAAUGUGUUAGAAAUUCUAUGUUCUACUUUCUGUCACAUCUAAGUUUUAGUAGUUUCUCCAUUUUCCUUUCAUCUCAAAUGUUUUGUAACUUGUAUGAAUUACUGAAAAAUAGACUAUUCACAGACACAACUGAUUUAACAAAAUGUAAAUGUCUUCUUGACACAAAAGAACCAUGAUACUUCAGUGUCAUCAUCCAGUCACCUAUGUUAUUACUGUCUGGUAUUCAGUUAUGCAGUGAUCUCAAACAUAGUAUAAUUAAGGCAAUUUACUAGAAAUACAUAUUUUACCUAAAGUAUUCUGGCAUCCAUUCACCACUUUUAAACUUACUUAUUAAGGUUACCGUGAUUUCAAUUGCUCAUUUCCUCUUUGGAAGUAAACUAGAAAAAAAAACAUUAUUUCUUUAGACCUUGUAAGUGUGCUAGCCAGCUUUGAAUGCAUUUGGGAAAGAUAGAGGAAUAAUCAAGAAACUUGGAAAGCUUCUAAUGGAGAAAUAAGUAAAUGAAAGGAAGGUUCAGGUGUUGACUGGAAGCAAACUGAAGUCUAAGAGGAAAUUAAACAGUUUAUGUUUGAUAUGGAAAAUGUUUUUCGACAGAGUGAGGUCAAUUCACAAUUCUACAAAAUUAUCAUGGAAAUUGUCAUUUGUCUUCCUGAGUUUGCUUCUUCUGAGACUGUGACCAGAUGGUUUUGUUAUGUCUGAUUUCAUUGUUGUCCAUUUUGUCUCACACCAUAUGCUGCUGAAGACAUGGCCAUUACUAUUCCAAAACUUUUACACAACAAAACUUCAUUAUUUCCUUAAUGCUUACAUGUAAGUGUGGAUAUCAAAAGAUGGCAAUGGAUAAACCAGGACUGGAAUAACAGAUAGUCAUGAGCUCCUGCGUGAGCACUGGGAAUUGAGUUAUGUUCUCUGCAAGAAGCAACAAAUGCUCUUAACUGACAUAAACUGAUGAAAAAGAGACACUAUGUCAGCGAAGAUAAGAGGCAGUCAUUUUGGAAAAGAUACUCUCCUUUUCUCAAAAAGGAUUUGAGGUUAGAGAAAUGGCAUGAGGCAUAAGUCACUUUAAGGGAGGGGAAGGGCUAUAAAAGAUUACCACCUGUCAGUUUCAGUGCAAACAGAAAUUUUAGAAAAUCGCGUUUUGUUCUUUGAAACUGCCAUCACUCAAAUAGCCCAAGGCCUUUGUGCUCUGAGGGGUGACUCUGAAUGCCCUUGAUUAGUUGUGUGGAGCACAUUUUAAGACAGCUAUCUGCAAACAGGAUGAAUCUGAAGGCAUUAACAAUCUGGUUUAUGAUCUCCUGAAGAAUUUGAGAAGGAAACGGAGAACCACAAAGGUGCCACCAAAGCAGACUUUGUAUGCACAAAAUACUGUUUUAUGGGCUGCAAUGUUGACUGAGGUUGCAGAGGUAGAGAAUUCUUAACUGGAAUUCAAAUUUGAAUAUGUUUAAAGAAACAGCUGUCAAACUGAGAACAAUUAACAGGAUGCAAUUUCUAUCAAUGAAAAUGACUGAAAAAUAAACUACCAACUCACUGAGGCAAUGAAGAAGCUUUUAGUACUGACAUUCAAAUAAAACACACUGAUGUGUAAGAUUUAAACAUAAGUUUUAAAUACAUUUUUAGCUGUGUAAUUUCAAUGUUUUUUUCAUGCUUAGCCAAAAAAUAAAGGCAUUCUAUAUUAGUCACUAUAAUACUUAUUUACAAAACCUUAUGUGUCAUUAUCAAUC